AGAGUUUGAUCAUGGCUCAGAAUCAACGCUGGCGGCGUGCCUAACACAUGCAAGUCGAACGCGAAAGUCCCGCAAGGGAUGAGUAGAGUGGCAAACGGGUGAGUAACACGUGGGUGACCUGCCUUCGAGCGGGGGAUAACGUCCCGAAAGGGACGCUAAUACCGCAUGACAUCCCGCCUUUGAAGAGGUGGAGAUCAAAGCUGGGGAUCGCAAGACCUAGCACUUGAAGAGGGGCCCGCGUCUGAUUAGCUAGUUGGUGGGGUAACGGCUCACCAAGGCAACGAUCAGUAUCCGGCCUGAGAGGGCGGACGGACACACUGGGACUGAGACACGGCCCAGACUCCUACGGGAGGCAGCAGUGGGGAAUUGUUCGCAAUGGGCGCAAGCCUGACGACGCAACGCCGCGUGGAGGAUGAAGACCUUCGGGUCGUAAACUCCUUUCGAUCGAGACGAAUGGCUUCCGGGUGAACAGUCCGGGAGAAUGACGGUACCGAGAGAAGAAGCCCCGGCUAACUCCGUGCCAGCAGCCGCGGUAAUACGGGGGGGGCAAGCGUUGUUCGGAAUUACUGGGCGUAAAGGGCUCGUAGGCGGCCAACUAAGUCAGACGUGAAAUCCCUCGGCUUAACCGGGGAACUGCAUCUGAUACUGGAUGGCUUGAGAUUGGGAGAGGGAUGCGGAAUUCCAGGUGUAGCGGUGAAAU
This 700-nucleotide ribosomal RNA is filed under the name uncultured bacterium. RNAcentral's name for it is "bacterial SSU rRNA". It matches the Rfam family "Bacterial small subunit ribosomal RNA", at positions 8 to 687 of the family's 1533-position model. The record is from RNAcentral.